CUCUUCUGAGAUGGCGCACGGGUGCGUAACACGUAUGUAACCUACCUUGUUCAGGGGGAUAGCCUCUCGAAAGAGAGAUUAAGACCGCAUAACAUUAUGAUGUGGCAUCGCAUUAUAAUCAAAUAUUUAUAGGAACAAGAUGGGCAUGCGGAACAUUAGCUAGUUGGUAAGGUAACGGCUUACCAAGGCUACGAUGUUUAGGGGAUCUGAGAGGAUGACCCCCCACACUGGUACUGAGACACGGACCAGACUCCUACGGGAGGCAGCAGUAAGGAAUAUUGGUCAAUGGACGGAAGUCUGAACCAGCCAUGCCGCGUGCAGGAAGACGGCCCUAUGGGUUGUAAACUGCUUUUAUACCGGAAUAAACCUUGAUUCGUGAAUCAAGUUGAAUGUACGGUAAGAAUAAGGAUCGGCUAACUCCGUGCCAGCAGCCGCGGUAAUACGGAGGAUCCAAGCGUUAUCCGGAUUUAUUGGGUUUAAAGGGUGCGUAGGUGGUU
This 497-nucleotide ribosomal RNA is filed under the name uncultured bacterium. RNAcentral describes it as "bacterial SSU rRNA". It matches the Rfam family "Bacterial small subunit ribosomal RNA", at positions 85 to 580 of the family's 1533-position model. The record is from RNAcentral.